GUAAACUCUGUGAAUUAAUACAGCUUCUUCAUCCACGGGAUGGUCGACAAAAGGACAUGCCAUGUUCGAGAAAAGCAAAACGUUUUAUAGUGUGCCUAACACAGUUAAUAAACCAACCCUGUUUUUUACUUAUGCAGAUAAACUGCUCUAAAAUGCGUCUGACACAGACUCAAUGAAUGAGCAAAUGAAAGAACGCCGUGUCAGAGGGAGGAGACUGAGAAGAAAACCUGUUCCCGACCAGGUUAGGUUCCGACUCAGUUACCAUAGUAACUGACUCUAAGGUUAAGAUACCUGUCUUUCUGAAACAGGCUGGAGUUACCCUUCUCCAUCAGGCUUGAUUAACUAAAACCCAGUUUUCCGUCAUUUCAGGGUUAACAAACUCAGAGUUCUCACUAAACCUCCUUUCUGAAACGGACCCUU
Molecule: long non-coding RNA, 420 nt
Organism: Etheostoma cragini (Arkansas darter)
Lineage: Eukaryota; Metazoa; Chordata; Actinopteri; Perciformes; Percidae
Exons: 3
Source: RefSeq, a predicted model, not a curated record